This 1154-nucleotide long non-coding RNA is filed under the name Physcomitrium patens. RNAcentral describes it as "long non-coding RNA (PPAT_LNC007041)". Lineage: Eukaryota; Viridiplantae; Streptophyta; Bryopsida; Funariales; Funariaceae. The record is from RNAcentral.
UGUCCAAAACACACAUAGCUCUCAAUAAACAACAAUCAUAAUCUUUUAAUAACUCCUCAUAUAAUUCAAUCACAUAAUAUUCUAAUUACAUAAUCAAUAAAUCAUAAAUCAAUUCCUGAUUUAUUCCACAGACUCACUUCUCAGUAUUCAGAAACUAUCCAUUAUUCUUUAACAACAAAGAAACAAAAAAACAAAGAGGUGGCACCAAGCUUACCCCGGCUCAUGACUAUCACAGUCUAGUACCCCAACAAACUUCUACAACUCUUAUAUAAUUGCUCCUAAUUUCCAGAUCCUAACUGUAAUACUAUAAUAACCACUUUUAAUAAUUAAAUCAAUCAUCCGUCCUCCUGAACUGACUAUUCUAUGGACUAUUAGUCUAUUUUACCAAUAUCUUACAGAAACAAACUAAUAUCUAUUCUACAUAGCCCCACUCCUAUCUGUGUAGCAUCCUCGCAAACAUACAAUUGAUUCCUAUCUAAAAACUACUUAACAAAAUUCUACAAAGUUAAUAUUUCCUUUGAUCCAUCCAAUUGAUCAUUUGCUGCAUUAUCGAAUGUAGGUUCCAUCGAUUCUGAUUCUAAAUUCAAAUCUUCCUCUUCUUUCAAUCUAUCCAUCGACUCCUUUUUCAACUGAUUUGAUAGAUCAUCAUUAUAUGCUCCCAAUUCACUGUCUUGAGCUUCCAAUUUUAAGAUCUGGACAUCACAGAGUUCCAACUGAUGUUGCUGCUGAUUCAUCCAUUCUAGAACAUCUUCAAUUAACACUUGUGACCGGCUCCUCACUGUUAACUCUUUUGUCAAUUUUGUCACCUCAGCUUAUAAAACUUUGAUUUCGGACCUCAACUUCUACAUUUUACAUCUGGAUUGAUCACUCAAUGCCGCUUUCUCUUUCGUUAAUAACUCUGACUUGUCUCCUUCUACUUGCAACUGGCAUUUGAAUAUCUCUCGUUUCAAAUCCCAUGUCUUGUGAUUCUGAAUCAAUUCGUCCCAUUGUCUUCUACAAUCAGUAAGAUGUAUUCUUUUUCUUCUGUCCAAGCUUCUUGUUUCUUUAAAAAUCUCCUCUCUAAUGUCAACUUGGAUUCUGCAUUCUCUUAGAGUAUCCAUUCUUUCUCUGUAAUUUUUUUUUUUCGGUUCUGCUCUGAUAUCACCUUCUUACUU